UGAAAGCCAUAGUUUUCAAAACAGUUUUCUGCAAGUAUAACUUCUCGCUCUGGAAAAAAGAGGAGCUUUUAUCUCUGCAGAACUAAAUACUGAUCUAAAGAGACAUUUCAAACCUGAAGUCAGCAAAAGAAGUAACCUGUGCCCAGAACCUGCUGGUAGCUGCUCAUCUGGGAAAUGGAGUCGGAGAGCAGAGGUGCAGGCAAAGGAACUGGGAGCAAAGGCUUCACAGCAGCGUGCACAGUGCUCUGUAAAAGCUUUCCAGUAAAGUUCCUUCAGCUGGAGAUGAUCUCUGCCUGAGUUCUGCUUUUUCUACAAUACUUCAGAUGCAUCUGGAUGGCCCAGAGAAAGGUUGCAGUAAGUCAAGAACCCAGAGGAACCAAAGUGGCUUUGUUGUAUAACGUGAAAAUGCUUAGGAAGCCUGUGAAGUGUGUGCUGUGCACUUAGUUUCCCUGGAGUUUCAUUUUCACAAGAUUACAGAACAGUGUAUUUAUUUCAAAUGAUAGACCAGACGGGCUGUGUUUCAGUGACUGCACAGAUUCUCUGCUCAGAUGUUCCCAAUGGCUCUACUUUCUAAAUGGGAAGGAUUUUACUGCUUCCACCAUGAACUGUCACUGCCUGCCUCUACGUACAAAAUCUUUUUGAGGAUUCAUAUUUUUUGUCGCAAUAUUUACAUGGUGUUUGACAUCUGCAAACUGCUUUCAUAAUCUUAAAAAAUGUAUUCAGACAACCAUAUAUUUCUAGGCACUUUAUUCUGCAAGAAGCCCUGUAUAAAUCAAAGGGGGAUUUUUUGCAGAAUCAAGUGCUACCCAAUGUAGUAACAGCAUCAGAAUCAUGUAAUGCAAAUGACCUAAAUACUCCAGGACAAGGGUGGUUGUUCCUGGUAUUUGAUACUUACUCCAGAAGUCUUGAUUUACAUCUGAGGACAACACCACAUUUGGAGUACAAAUUAAAGAUUUCUGCAGUCUUUGUAAAUUAUUAUUGUAACUAUAGGAGAUAUUUUAAAAUAUUGAAACAAGAGGCUUCUUCUUCUGCGCAAGGUUCUGUCCUUACUGGAAAAGUAAGCCAGCAGAUGAAGGGUAAUAUUCCCCUUGCAGGUGACUACUUUGCUGAGAACAAAAUAGAAAACGUAUCCCAUAGUGAUGUCUUAAUGGCACUCAGGGUCUGGUACUAAUCUCAGACACAGGCAUAAUUACUGUGAAAUUAUCUCCUCUGUAGGGGCGUAAGCAAGAACCGAUUUUGUAAAAUCUUUUCUAUGUACUUACCCAGGAUUAAACCUGAUCCUCACUGCGAAACUAUCUUGGCAAAGCAAAGGAUCCUAAAAGGUUAAGACAAACAUGAUUGGAGACAGGAUAUUUUUUGCCCAGAACGCCCACAUCCACGUGAAUUGUCAGCUACAAGCUUAUGCGAUGUGCACUACAAUCAGAGUGACCACAGUGGGGCAAGAGAGGCACCAGAUGGUGACAGAUGUGAGAGCCACCACCUCGGGGUGCUCCGCAGGUCCAGAGCAGACUUUGGAAGAAGCAUCUCGCAGCUGAGAGAUGCACAGAGGGCAGCGAGACCAGGGGGGAGAUUGCUCCAGAGAAAAGAGCACUGGGGGGAAUAAAGCAAACGUGUUCGAUGUACCAAAAUGUCCUGCCCCUGUCUGAAUACAAUAAACAGCUUUGUGCGUGGA
Molecule: long non-coding RNA, 1672 nt
Organism: Harpia harpyja (harpy eagle)
Lineage: Eukaryota; Metazoa; Chordata; Aves; Accipitriformes; Accipitridae
Exons: 2
Source: RefSeq, a predicted model, not a curated record